RNAcentral lists this small nuclear RNA (101 nucleotides) under Catagonus wagneri (Chacoan peccary). The record is from RNAcentral. Lineage: Eukaryota; Metazoa; Chordata; Mammalia; Artiodactyla; Tayassuidae.
CUUGCUUCAGCAACAUACACUAAAAUUGGAACAAUAAAGAGCAAUUAGCAUGGCCCCCGUGCAAGGAUGACACACAAACUUGUGAAGCAUUUCAUAUUUUU